This is a long non-coding RNA of Sciurus carolinensis (gray squirrel), 2229 nucleotides long. RefSeq lists it as uncharacterized. Lineage: Eukaryota; Metazoa; Chordata; Mammalia; Rodentia; Sciuridae. The record is from RefSeq and is a predicted model, not a curated record. The transcript is spliced from 4 exons.
GGGCAGAGGAGGCCAGGAUGGGAAGAUGGAUGAGCACAGAUGAUGGAAUGCAGUGUUGCCUGAUUCUUAAUGUGGUACAGAGCAGAAAGAAUCACUGUCUAUUUUCUGUUUGCCAGAGAUCCUGAGUCUUUUGUUUGCUGAGAAUUUGAACCCAGGGCCUUGUGCAUGUGAGGCAAGCACUCUACCAACUGAGCUAUAUCCCCAGCCCUGUUUCCUUUCUUAAAUCGGGAUCCUGAGCAUGAAAAGGAAUGUGGCUUCCUGGAGGCCACACAGCUGGGUAAGGAGCAGAGCCAAGAGGGGCAGAAAAGCUCCUUGGAUCCUGCCGUGGUGUUGUCCCCACAUCCACAAUACUCAGGGGUCAAGCUUCUGCAAAGCUCUUCUGAUGUUCGUCAGCUUCAAAUUCUCUCCUUGGAAUAGGAUCUGUUAAUAUGGAGUCUUGAUAAGGUGGUUUUCUGGACCUCCAGGACUGUGGAUCCAAGACUCGAGACCAUGGUGAAUUUGUGAAAAUGAUGCUGUUCUGAAGAUUCAUUAUCAGUCCUGCCUUGGGACCAUUCUUCCUGCUCCUUCAUGUGCGGUGGCCCUUUCCUGCAGUCAGACUCCAACAGGUCACACUUCAAUGCUAGUGGCAUCUCCAAGCUCUCCAAUCCACAUGGAAACACUGUUCUUCCAUGGCAGGCAUGCUCUAGCAUUGAAGCUUCCGAGGCCGUGUCUGUCUUAUGCCGAGCUUAUGCUGGCACCUAACACAGUGCCAGGCAUAUAGCAGGCGUAAGUUAAUACGUGUUACAUAAUUUUAUACUCCCCCCCAAAUCUUAACAAGCCCAACCAGGAAGAAUUAGCUUAUCCUCCUUUUACAAACAAUAUGGAAACAAAGGAAUUAAAUAACCUACACCUUCUAAUGCAUUGCAUAUCAUUUUUUACUCUGAAACACUAUUUAAACUCCCAUCCUCAAAAAAAAAAAAAAAAAAGAAAGAGAGAAAAGAAAAGAAAAAUAAAGAAAGAAGUAAAACAAAAAGAAAGGCACUCCUUUGCACAUAUCCCAUCUCCAACAGUUUCAAAUCGUUUUAAUCUGUCACUAGUAGUGGAGAAGGUCAUGAAAUUUCUCAUUCCACAAAGGCAAUUUAAAAGAAAGGAAAACCAGAUAGUACAUUCAGAAUGAGGGAUAUUCUGAUGUCUAUUUUGAGGACAAGGUCAAUUCAAGGUUAGAAGACAAUGUAAGGAGUUGCCAAAAAUGAGAAACACUUCCUGUACUUUAGGGAUUAUGGCAAAAGUCCGACCUGCCUGAGACAUCCUUAGAAGUCUCCGACUUAAUGGUUCAGUAACUGAGCACAGUGAUCCGUUAAAAGAUGCCAUUUUUUUCAACACCGAACCACAAAGCAGCUAACCAGCUCCAUGAGAACGUCCCAGACCCCACCUGGCAAAGCCAGAGACAGUGACCACCUGUGGACUUGGGCAUGUUUCCUAUUUCAUCAAUUUCUGCUUUCACUUUAUUAGUUCUUUCUUUAUAGGUGUUUAGACAUAUAUUUUAGGUUUGUUUUACUGACAUCUUUUACCAUUUCUUCAAUUCGAUUAAAAAGUUUCCACUUCGAUUUCUUGUUGAUCAAUAAAUUGUAUGCAGUUCUGUGUGUGUGCAGGCUUGAGUUUAUAUUUAGAUGGCUACUUUGUUUUUGUUUACUUGUUUGAGGGGCAUCUAUUCUUAAGCUAUCUUUUAAUUUUAUUGCAUAAUGGUUAGUAAAUUCUAUCUAUAAAAUUAAUCUUUUGAAUUUGUCGUAGAUACAUUUUAUGAUGAUUGCACAUGUAUUCCAGAGUGAUAAAGAGACCAUUUAUGGGAACAAGUUUUCUGUAUAUUAUAUCAAAAUUAUCAGCAUGUUACUAAAGUUCAUAUAUUUGGUUUUUGUUUGCUUUUUUAUGGAGAGGUUUAUUCAAGUUUUCAACAGCGAUUUUGUUUCAGGUUUUUGUUUUGUAAUUCUCUCAACUUUUGAUUAACUAUUUUGUAUCUAAACUUGCAGCUGUACAGCAGUUAUUUCAGCCUGGCUUCCUUCAUCCACAGAGUGUCUUUGUUUCUUUCAAUUAUUUUCACUUCUGAUCUUAUUUUACAUGAUAUUGACACAACUGUGUUUUAUUGUCUAUUUGUUGUUAACCAUUUCUAACCAAGUAUUUUCAUUGUCUGUUCAGUGAAAAUAUUUUAUUUGUUACUUGAAAAAAGUCAAACGCAUAUGUUUUUAAAAUACA